UGGGGAAUUUUGGACAAUGGGGGCAACCCUGAUCCAGCCAUGCCGCGUGAGUGAAGAAGGCCUUCGGGUUGUAAAGCUCUUUCGGCGGGGAAGAAAUGGCAACGGCUAAUAUCCGUUGUGGAUGACGGUACCCGCAUAAGAAGCACCGGCUAACUACGUGCCAGCAGCCGCGGUAAUACGUAGGGUGCGAGCGUUAAUCGGAAUUACUGGGCGUAAAGCGUGCGCAGGCGGUUUCGUAAGACAGACGUGAAAUCCCCGGGCUCAACCUGGGAACUGCGUUUGUGAAUGCGAGGCUAGAGUACGGCAGAGGGGGGUAGAAUUCCACGUGUAGCAGUGAAAUGCGUAGAGAUGUGGAGGAAUACCGAUGGCGAAGGCAGCCCCCUGGGUUAGUACUGACGCUCAUGCACGAAAGCGUGGGAGCAAACA
Molecule: ribosomal RNA, 426 nt
Filed under: uncultured bacterium
Lineage: Bacteria
Description: bacterial SSU rRNA
Rfam family: Bacterial small subunit ribosomal RNA
Source: RNAcentral